This 600-nucleotide ribosomal RNA is filed under the name Enterobacter ludwigii. RNAcentral's name for it is "bacterial SSU rRNA". It matches the Rfam family "Bacterial small subunit ribosomal RNA", at positions 35 to 628 of the family's 1533-position model. Lineage: Bacteria; Pseudomonadati; Pseudomonadota; Gammaproteobacteria; Enterobacterales; Enterobacteriaceae. The record is from RNAcentral.
GCAGUGGCGGCGUCUACCAUGCAAGUCGAACGGUAGCACAGAGAGCUUGCUCUCGGGUGACGAGUGGCGGACGGGUGAGUAAUGUCUGGGAAACUGCCUGAUGGAGGGGGAUAACUACUGGAAACGGUAGCUAAUACCGCAUAACGUCGCAAGACCAAAGAGGGGGACCUUCGGGCCUCUUGCCAUCAGAUGUGCCCAGAUGGGAUUAGCUAGUAGGUGGGGUAACGGCUCACCUAGGCGACGAUCCCUAGCUGGUCUGAGAGGAUGACCAGCCACACUGGAACUGAGACACGGUCCAGACUCCUACGGGAGGCAGCAGUGGGGAAUAUUGCACAAUGGGCGCAAGCCUGAUGCAGCCAUGCCGCGUGUAUGAAGAAGGCCUUCGGGUUGUAAAGUACUUUCAGCGGGGAGGAAGGUGUUGUGGUUAAUAACCGCAGCAAUUGACGUUACCCGCAGAAGAAGCACCGGCUAACUCCGUGCCAGCAGCCGCGGUAAUACGGAGGGUGCAAGCGUUAAUCGGAAUUACUGGGCGUAAAGCGCACGCAGGCGGUCUGUCAAGUCGGAUGUGAAAUCCCCGGGCUCAACCUGGGAACUGCAUUC